RNAcentral lists this small RNA (246 nucleotides) under Mus pahari (shrew mouse). Its description in RNAcentral is "sRNA (MGP_PahariEiJ_G0007981.1)". The stretch from base 2 to 177 matches the Rfam family "7SK RNA". From Rfam's summary of the family: 7SK was discovered as an abundant small nuclear RNA in the mid-70s but a possible function has only recently been suggested. Two independent studies have found that 7SK RNA binds the CDK9/cyclin T complex (known as elongation factor P-TEFb). The record is from RNAcentral. Lineage: Eukaryota; Metazoa; Chordata; Mammalia; Rodentia; Muridae.
AGACUAUGCGGGUAAUUGGGCCACAACACCUGCCACUCUAUUGAUUGUGAGCAUUGAUUCAGAGUCUGGCUGGCCAGGUGAGUGGCCCUUUCCUCCUCACUACUCUGUGUGUACCCUUCCUGAAGCUGCAAGCUAGGUGGAAGAGAACGAACUUCCUCCAUUGUAGUGGUUUGAAUAGGAAUGCCCCUCCCCCACACACACACACACCCUAGACUCAAGCAUUAGAAUGCUUGGUCUAAGGGAGUG